This 588-nucleotide long non-coding RNA is filed under the name Canis lupus familiaris (dog). RNAcentral describes it as "lncRNA (ENSCAFG00000054906.1)". Lineage: Eukaryota; Metazoa; Chordata; Mammalia; Carnivora; Canidae. The record is from RNAcentral.
CCGUCCCCCGCCGUCCCCCUCCGUUCCCCUCCGCACGCGGGUCUUCCCGGCCUCGGCCUCGGCCUGGCGGGGGGGCUGUGCGUCCCAGAGGCCUCGACCCCGGAACCGGCCGUCUCACCCCCCAAUUCCGCCCGGUCCCCCGCGCCUCCCUGUGCUCGCCCAAGACCCGAGGGGGCUGCUCCCGCAGCAGCACCGGGGCCAGCGCCCGGCUCCGGGGCGGGGACCCCGGCUCGCCCCCCGCCUCCCCCGCUGCUCCGACGCGGCCCCCCUGGCCGGGUGGCCCGACGGUACGGGUCGGGCGGUGCCGGGGGCGGCCGGUCGCUGACGCCCCGACACCCAGACAGCGCUGCCCGGGCCCCACCUGGGAUCCGCCCGUGGCCGGCGUCCGCUCCCCGGAGCCCGGCCCCCGCGAGGCCCGAGCGGCCGCGUCGCUGGAAGUCGGCGAAGUCUAAGCCGGGAGUUCGGUGCCUCAAGGCACGUAGGAAGCGUGCGAGAGGGCAGAGGAGUGCGCAGCUGAGGGCCUGCGGGCAGCAGGGGAGCUUCAAAGAGCCCGGGAUAUUUGAUUUGCACCUGAGAGGUCUCACCUGA